AUACGAAGGGGGCUAGCGUUGUUCGGAUUUACUGGGCGUAAAGCGCACGUAGGCGGAUUGAUCAGUUAGGGGUGAAAUCCCGAGGCUCAACCUCGGAACUGCCUUUAAUACUGUCAGUCUAGAGACCGGAAGAGGUGAGUGGAACUCCUAGUGUAGAGGUGGAAUUCGUAGAUAUUAGGAAGAACACCAGUGGCGAAGGCGGCUCACUGGUCCGGUAAUGACGCUGAGGUGCGAAAGCGUGGGGAGCGAACAGGAUUAGAUACCCUAGUAGUCC
RNAcentral lists this ribosomal RNA (274 nucleotides) under uncultured bacterium. RNAcentral's name for it is "partial 16S ribosomal RNA". It matches the Rfam family "Bacterial small subunit ribosomal RNA", at positions 523 to 796 of the family's 1533-position model. The record is from RNAcentral.